AGCGACCCUGGAGGCUUUUCCGCCUGCUUUUCCAGUCAGUUUAACCAACAGCGUCUGAAUUAUACGACGGCGUAGCGAAAUUCUCGGACGCUUUAGAGUAGAGAGCAGCUAAAGUUUGGUCAAAGCUCGCGGGCACUGAGAGGGAGCUCGCGGGCGCGGGGAAGACGGCGGGGUGUUUCCUCGCGCGAGGAGUAAAGAUGACCCGGUAAGACGUGAUUACCGAAGGCGCGCGGACUCGGCCUGCCCGCUGCAGUGGAGUUUUGGGUCGGAAUGGCAGCUGCGGUGUCGAGCUCAGGCUUCCGAUAAGAGAUGGAAGAGGGGGUAGACAGCAGGGGGCAGGAAUAUCAGAGCACCAACGAGCCCACGCUCCCUGGUCCCCAAGUGGCAGAGUCCCAGCCUCAACACACCCAACAGCCCGCCAUACAAAACCAAGGGCUUCCCAUCAUGCACUGGGAAGACCUGAGCUUGCGAAUAGCAGAGCUUGAGAAACAGGAGGAAGAGAGAAGGAAAAAAGCAGAGUGCCUGAGUUUGACAGAAGAAGAAUCGGUGCUAGGACAGUGGCCACAGGUGAAGCACCAGUCACUUCUCAGGAAACAGUGGGGAGAUGGGGGUGACUUUGGUGGAUAUCGCUUUCCAGUCAUUACAUCUCGGUUUAAUAGUCCCAAAAACCUACAACUGUGUUUUAUCAACAACAGUGAGAGCGAGGAAGAGGAUGAUGAGGGGACAUCCAGCAGAGAGAGUCCGUGUGGCACACAUGGAUGUGGGCGACGUUCUGCCGGCCUGAAACAGGAAGUCAGAGCAGCUCUGAGCGAUCUCAGAGAUAAGCUCUGGGCCGAACAGAAGCAACAGCACCAGCAGCAGCUGACCAGCAGUGACAUUAGCAUUAGGAGGAAAAUGCUGAGCCACAGUGAGCUGCAGAGUUGCUCCGUGCUUCAGCUGACUGCGCUCAGCACCUCCCUCAAUGAAGACAUUCAGGAUUUGAGCUCUGAGUUAGUGAAGCAUCUGGUUGUGCGAGACCAUCUCCGGACGAAGCAAGAUGCGAUGCUCCUUGAUGUACAGGAUAUGACGUGACUGUGACUCACAUCGAGUCACAAUUAUCUGUCCUUAUGUAAUGGACUUUAUGGACUACAGUGGAAUAUGGAUCUUUUCACAUCAGCAAUUUACUGGAAGUUUUUUAUCUCCUGCUUAUUGCUAUCUAAAUUCACACAGUUUGUCAUUGUACUCAUGGGAAUGUUCAUUUGUAUGUAAGUAAGUUUAUUUUGUCACAAGUUUUAUUGUGAGAACUUUGUCUUUAUCAAUGCAAAUGAGCAGUUCUUAAAUACUAAACAGGAAUGCAACUCAUCAUCGCAAAAUACACCUAGUCACAUAAGGUGCAUUAUUACCAUCAAUAAUAACCAAUCUGUGAAAGCUGCUAUAAAUCCAUGUGUGAUCAGUAACUGAUAUAUUAAACUGAUUAAAUUCCAAUUAAAAAUGCUUCAUGGGAAUAAGAACUGCAUGCAAUAUACCAUACUAUCUGCCAUGAAGGUGUAGUUGGAGACUGGGAUUUUAGUAUCUUUUCCAAUUUAUCAGUGUUUUUUCUGGAAAUGGGCAGAAUUUAUAUAAACUGAGUAAAUCUGUAGCAUUUAUUAAAUAUAUGGUUUAUUUGGUAUUUUUUGUUUAAGUCUCAUUGGUUAUGCUCACUUGAGUAGAAUUUGAGAGAAGAGGAGUAUUUGGGAUGAUUAAAUGUACUUCUUGUAGUGUUUUCCAUUUUUCCAUAUUUGUCUCUCACAUUAUGGAACAUAGUAUAC
Long non-coding RNA from Electrophorus electricus (electric eel), 1787 nucleotides. The record is from Ensembl. NCBI's taxonomy places the organism in Eukaryota, Metazoa, Chordata, Actinopteri, Gymnotiformes, Gymnotidae.